UUCAUGCACAUACUGUCAUUAACUGCGCAAUGGGAUGCUGAUGUUGCCUUAGAGGCUGGUAUUAAUCUUUGUGGCAGAGCUUGCAGAAACCCUGCAUGCCUUCACUGACGUAAGUGUUGCUGUCCAUCUUUUUGAUCGUAAGAUUACUCCUUUAGGAUAUAAGGUAAUAUAAGGCUGCCAACCUUUAAAAAAACAUUCCAAGUUAGUAAAGGUAAAAGAUGUUCUUUUUCUUCCAGUACUGAAAAUUGAGUACAAAGUCACAUAAGAGUUGACAUCUAUCAUCCAAUUUCAUCAUAACUUUG
Molecule: long non-coding RNA, 302 nt
Filed under: Bos taurus (domestic cattle)
Lineage: Eukaryota; Metazoa; Chordata; Mammalia; Artiodactyla; Bovidae
Description: long non-coding RNA NONBTAT025636
Source: RNAcentral